GACGAACCGUACAAACGUUAUUCGGAAUUACUGGGCUUAAAGGGUGCGUAGGCGGUGCGGCAAGUUGGAUGUGAAAUCCCUCAGCUCAACUGAGGAAUUGCGUCCAAUACUGCCGUGCUAGAGGGAAGCAGGGGUGAGCGGAACUCACGGUGGAGCGGUGAAAUGCGUUGAUAUCGUGAGGAACACCGGUGGCGAAAGCGGCUCACUGGGCUUCUACUGACGCUGAGGCACGAAAGCUAGGGGAGCGAACGGG
This 253-nucleotide unclassified non-coding RNA is filed under the name uncultured Pirellulaceae bacterium. RNAcentral's name for it is "contains 16S-23S intergenic spacer region". It matches the Rfam family "Bacterial small subunit ribosomal RNA", at positions 524 to 776 of the family's 1533-position model. Lineage: Bacteria; Pseudomonadati; Planctomycetota; Planctomycetia; Pirellulales; Pirellulaceae. The record is from RNAcentral.